RNAcentral lists this transfer RNA (73 nucleotides) under Shewanella algae. It matches the Rfam family "tRNA". From Rfam's summary of the family: Transfer RNA (tRNA) molecules are approximately 80 nucleotides in length. Their secondary structure includes four short double-helical elements and three loops (D, anti-codon, and T loops). Lineage: Bacteria; Pseudomonadati; Pseudomonadota; Gammaproteobacteria; Alteromonadales; Shewanellaceae. The record is from Rfam by way of RNAcentral. RNAcentral also lists the same sequence under 2 other names.
GCUGAUAUGGCUCAGGUGGUAGAGCGCAUCCUUGGUAAGGAUGAGGUCGGCAGUUCGAAUCUGCCUAUCAGCA